Molecule: ribosomal RNA, 245 nt
Filed under: uncultured Sphingobacteriales bacterium
Lineage: Bacteria; Pseudomonadati; Bacteroidota; Sphingobacteriia; Sphingobacteriales
Description: partial 16S ribosomal RNA
Rfam family: Bacterial small subunit ribosomal RNA
Source: RNAcentral
UACGGAGGAUGCGAGCGUUAUCCGGAUUUAUUGGGUUUAAAGGGUGCGCAGGCGGUGCGUUAAGUCAGCGGUGAAAUGUCCCGGCUCAACCGGGGCACUGCCGUUGAUACUGGCGUGCUUGAGUGCGGACGGCGCCGGCGGAAUGUGUCAUGUAGCGGUGAAAUGCUUAGAUAUGCCACAGAACACCGAUCGCGAAGGCAGCUGGCGAGGCCGUGACUGACGCUGAGGCACGAAAGCGUGGGGAU